AAAACUUUCAACAACGGAUCUCUUGGUUCUGGCAUCGAUGAAGAACGCAGCGAAAUGCGAUAAGUAAUGUGAAUUGCAGAAUUCAGUGAAUCAUCGAAUCUUUGAACGCACAUUGCGCCCCCCGGCACUCCGGGGGGCAUGCCUGUUCGAGCGUCAUU
This 158-nucleotide ribosomal RNA is filed under the name melanized limestone ascomycete CR-2004. RNAcentral's name for it is "5.8S ribosomal RNA". It matches the Rfam family "5.8S ribosomal RNA". Rfam says of the family: 5.8S ribosomal RNA (5.8S rRNA) is a component of the large subunit of the eukaryotic ribosome. It is transcribed by RNA polymerase I as part of the 45S precursor that also contains 18S and 28S rRNA. The record is from RNAcentral. Lineage: Eukaryota; Fungi; Ascomycota.